RNAcentral lists this unclassified non-coding RNA (469 nucleotides) under Hevea brasiliensis (rubber tree). Lineage: Eukaryota; Viridiplantae; Streptophyta; Magnoliopsida; Malpighiales; Euphorbiaceae. The record is from RNAcentral.
UUUGCAGUGGGGGUUUCGCUGCUUCACCAAGCUAUCCGAGUCUCAGACCCAACUUUGCAAGCAUCGGGAACUCUAUAAAAUAUUUGGUCUAUUGAAUUUUAGCUGGAGACAACGAAACAUGGCCUGCUCAGAUAAAACUCUCCGAGUCUUCUGCGUCGGCACCGCUGAUACCAAGCUCGACGAACUCCGAUUUCUAUCUGACUCCGUCAGUUCCAGUCUCACCUCUUUGUCCAACAACUCUUCUUCCAAGGUGGAGGUUGUGAUUGUUGAUGUUUCCGUGGGUCAGAAAGAGAUUAAUGGUAUUGGGGAAUUUUCUUUUGUAUCAAGAAAGGAUGUUCUUGCUUGCUUAAAGGUUUCAGUUGAACAAAACCAUAAUAUGCUUCCAGAUGAUAGGGCCCAAGCUGUGGCUAUAAUGAGUAAAGCACUUGAACAUUUCAUGAAGAACGCUCAGGAGACUAAUGUCGUUGCG